Molecule: ribosomal RNA, 447 nt
Filed under: uncultured bacterium
Lineage: Bacteria
Description: partial 16S ribosomal RNA
Rfam family: Bacterial small subunit ribosomal RNA
Source: RNAcentral
AGCGAACGCUGGCGGCAAGCUUAACACAUGCAAGUCGAACGCCCCGCAAGGGGAGUGGCAGACGGGUGAGUAACACGUGGGAACGUACCCUUUGGUUCGGAAUAACUUGGGGAAACUCAAGCUAAUACCGGAUAAGCCCUUAUGGGGAAAGGUUUACUGCCGAAGGAUCAGCCCGCGUCUGAUUAGCUAGUUGGUGAGGUAAUGGCUCACCAAGGCGACGAUCAGUAGCUGGUCUGAGAGGAUGAUCAGCCACACUGGGACUGAGACACGGCCCAGACUCCUACGGGAGGCAGCAGUGGGGAAUAUUGGACAAUGGGGGCAACCCUGAUCCAGCCAUGCCGCGUGAGUGAUGAAGGCCUUAGGGUUGUAAAGCUCUUUUACCCGGGACGAUAAUGACUGUACCGGGAGAAUAAGCCCCGGCUAACUUCGUGCCAGCAGCCGCAGUAA